UGCGUAGGCGGACUAAUAAGUCAGUGGUGAAAUCUUUCGGCUCAACCGAGAAACUGCCAUUGAUACUGUUAAUCUUGAGUUCGGUUGAGGUAGGCGGAAUGUGUAAUGUAGCGGUGAAAUGCUUAGAUAUUACACAGAACACCAAUUGCGUAGGCAGCUUACUAGACCGACACUGACGCUGAGGCGCGAAAGCGUGGGGAGCAAACAGGAUUAGAUACCCUGGUAGUCC
RNAcentral lists this ribosomal RNA (229 nucleotides) under uncultured bacterium. RNAcentral's name for it is "partial 16S ribosomal RNA". It matches the Rfam family "Bacterial small subunit ribosomal RNA", at positions 568 to 796 of the family's 1533-position model. The record is from RNAcentral.